Molecule: small RNA, 29 nt
Filed under: Bombyx mori (domestic silkworm)
Lineage: Eukaryota; Metazoa; Arthropoda; Insecta; Lepidoptera; Bombycidae
Description: ovarian small RNA-11506
Source: RNAcentral
ACGCCUCAGAGUGAGGUAACGCCGAAUGA